CCCUGCAUUGAACAUGGGUGUCCUGACUCAGCUCCUCUGCCUCCUGCUGUCCUGCAUCCCAGCUGCCAGUGGCGCCGCUCAGCUGACUCAGUCCCCGGCCUAUCUCUCUGUGUCCCUGAGAGACAGCGUGUCCAUCAGCUGCAGGGCCAGCGAGAGCAUUAGUGACUACUUAAGCUGGUAUCAGCAGAAACCGGGCCAGCCUCCCAAGCUUAUCAUCUAUGAUGCUGAUAACCUAAAGUCUGGUGUCCCAGAUCGGUUCUCUGCAUUUCAGUCUGACAAAGAAUUCAUCCUCAAAAUCAGCACAGUACAGCCUGAGGACUCCGCCAGUUACUUCUGCCAGCAGGAUUAUGCACUUCCUCCCACGGUGCUGCAGCCUCGAGCAAAAACCUUCCCCCCACCGGGCUGCUUGUUCAGGGGUUCCAGCAGCUGCACUGUGCCCUGA
This is a non-coding RNA of Hyaena hyaena (striped hyena), 442 nucleotides long. The record is from the annotation of a RefSeq genome assembly. NCBI's taxonomy places the organism in Eukaryota, Metazoa, Chordata, Mammalia, Carnivora, Hyaenidae.